AUAUAAAUAAGCUAAGUUAAAGCUUUUAGGUUCAUACCCUAACUAUAGAAUUCAUCUUUUAUAUA
RNAcentral lists this transfer RNA (65 nucleotides) under Lasioglossum punctatissimum. RNAcentral's name for it is "tRNA-Met". The record is from RNAcentral. Lineage: Eukaryota; Metazoa; Arthropoda; Insecta; Hymenoptera; Halictidae.